Non-coding RNA from Nerophis lumbriciformis (worm pipefish), 73 nucleotides. The record is from RefSeq and is a predicted model, not a curated record. Lineage: Eukaryota; Metazoa; Chordata; Actinopteri; Syngnathiformes; Syngnathidae.
UUCCUGUGAUGAGAUUUCUCACUUCAUGGUCCGUGUUUUUGACUACUGUGAUAAGAGUUGAAGUUCUGAGGCU